AGCUGGUCUGACUGCAGUGGUGUUUGCAACUAACAGAUCACAACUAGUUACAGAUUUCUGUGUUCCUCCUCCACUCUUACUGCUUCACUUGACUAGCCUAAA
RNAcentral lists this Y RNA (102 nucleotides) under Saimiri boliviensis boliviensis (Bolivian squirrel monkey). RNAcentral's name for it is "Y RNA (ENSSBOG00000003967.1)". It matches the Rfam family "Y RNA". Rfam says of the family: Y RNAs are components of the Ro ribonucleoprotein particle (Ro RNP), in association with Ro60 and La proteins. The Y RNAs and Ro60 and La proteins are well conserved, but the function of the Ro RNP is not known. The record is from Rfam by way of RNAcentral. Lineage: Eukaryota; Metazoa; Chordata; Mammalia; Primates; Cebidae.